This is a non-coding RNA of Stegodyphus mimosarum, 73 nucleotides long. Lineage: Eukaryota; Metazoa; Arthropoda; Arachnida; Araneae; Eresidae. The record is from Rfam.
GCCUUCGUGGUGUAAUGGUCUGCACGCUCGGCGCGUGUUCGAGAGGUUCGUGGUUCGAGUCCUGGCGAGGGUA